Molecule: long non-coding RNA, 2016 nt
Organism: Nematostella vectensis (starlet sea anemone)
Lineage: Eukaryota; Metazoa; Cnidaria; Anthozoa; Actiniaria; Edwardsiidae
Exons: 2
Source: RefSeq, a predicted model, not a curated record
CCUUGUAGGAGAAAGAACACAAUUCAGUUGGGCUGACAUGGUAAAAUGUUGGCGAGAGCGGAGAGAACAUUGCGAAGUCGAGUGAUGAUCUCCUCCACCUCCUUUUCUUAGCUUAGUUAUGGACCACUGUCCGCGCACCUUGGCGGUGGAACAAGGAAUAACUAGUCCACACAAAGGUGCACCUAGCGAACAUCUAAGAUAAUUAAGGGGACUUGCGCCUGGUUUAGAGACAUCCGUAUUGAUUCCCGCAAGAUAUGGUCUAGAAAGACUCACGCAAUCAGCAGACAUUAUUUCGGUUCAUAUUUGCAUUUGAUAUGAGCAAAGGGGAAAAUGUCCUUGUCUGGAAAGAAAACCUCAAGUUGACUUCUUCGACAGCAAGAGCAGAGGGCGAGGUGGAUUAAGGGAUUUGUACUUUGAGUCGGAUGAGCCGUGCAGCAAACGGUUAUCGUGAACAGGGUCAGCGAGUUAAUACUUCACUGUCGGCCUGUAAGCGGAAAUCCAAUCUAGUAAUCAAAAUCCUACUGCUGUUUUUGCGUUUCGAACAUCCGAAAGGAAUCACAGUAAAUGUAGGUUAACACAAUAGUGUCAAUGAAAGAGUAGCGACUCGGCGCACUGGAUCGCGAAUACUUACCUUUGGCCCUGGUAUGCUGACAGGCACGAGUGUGUACGAUCCGCGUUCAAAAAUAAAUGGCAAACUUAGUAAGCGCUGUCUCACAGAUGGCGGUGGUGGUUCCAUAACGCCACUAAGAGCUCAUAUUUACGUCGUCAGAAUGUGGCCUUUAUAAACGCAGUCUAACUGAAUGUAUGGCUGAACUAAAGAUUGGAAAUCUCCGCGAGGUAGACCAUUCCUUACGUGCCGACUACAAGACUAUAAUUUAUGAUCUGCGCAGUGUAUGGUUGGCGAGGCAUACACCGGAUGUGACAUAAGGGUUGGUCACGCCUCGAGUAUGAGAGAGCGGAAGUAAGAUAGGGCGAGUAAAAAUACAGUAGAAAACUUUGUGCGCUUCGCUAACUUAACCUUGGGUUAUUUAGAGGAAGCUGAAUAAAGCUUCAAACAGCUGGAGAAAAAAGUACGAAAGUAAGGGUUGUCAAAAAUUAACUGUGGCAACCUCCUGACUAUUGAUACGUCACGGAAUCGUGAGUUUAAUGUACGGGUUUCCGGUGCGUAAAUGUUCCUUCUCAAAACACAUUAGAAAUUCAAGAACAACAGAGAAACUAAUGGUCCCUUCUCAAGUACAAGAACGGGCGCUAACACGACAACACUUAGACAACAAACAAGGAACUGAAGGAGAAGUGCUAAAGCCAUGGGGGAUCGAGUGUUCCCUUCCACACGAAAAAAAAAAUAAAAUAAAUAAACCCAGAAUCGGUAAUCGGAUAAAACCAGCAAUGACUUCUGAUAAAAAAGAUAAACGUACAAAACCCAGAUCGGAGGCACUCGGUUAGACUGAUUUGCUUUGAGUUCCUAAAGGUGCUAAAAAUAGAAAGUUCAUGGGAAGAUAUUAAGAGGCGUCUCCGAUUAUUGCGUCACAUCGUAUCCUAUAGCACCCCAGGAUGGAGAUAUAACUACUGUGAAUGCACUAGAGUGUGCAACCAUCGGGUUACCCUGGUUUCAGAGCCUCGAACGUCUCUCUAUUUUGGCCACUGAAUAGAGAGACGCUCGAGGCUCUGGGACCAGGGUACCAUGGGGUGUAACACGGGAUGGAACUGUUACAGUGAUUGAUGGACAUGACGCUGAUCCGCGGAUAAUUCCCGAGGGUGCAGAAGACUGCUAUUAAUUACUGUUAUCGACUUACAGGAUAUCAAAUACGAUUCCGAGAGGUCGAAACCGCCAAUGGGUAACCUUCAGACCAGACUGCAUAACUUGCGUUUUUAGGGGAAGCAAUACUCAAGCGCUUAGGUUUCAAAUAACGAAAAUAUAAUAACAAAAAUGUCACUGCACACAAGGAUGCUUUUGUCGUAUGCUUAGUAACGUUCAAUACGUGCUCCAAAUAAAAACACGGCGCAGCUUGAAGCCUA